GUGCAAACAAUUGAUGGCGGUCUACUCUUAAAAUACAACGAACCGCUUCGUGUUCUUCUUGAAGUAUACUCUAACAAAGAAAAAUCAGGGUCGAACCUGAACUAGCAGAUUCGGAUGCAUUGAAAGUCAACAAAUUUUAUUGAAGCAAUCUCUCCUAAUUCUCUUAUAUGUGGGCACAAUUCUCUUCUCAAAUACUUAUUGGGUGCACUUGAGUUCACUCACUUAGUGCCCUUAACUUUCUUAUCUAAUUUAGUGUUAUUCGGAUAGAAAGAGGAUGUUGUUCUAAUGGAUAGGAAGUGCGAUCUCUUUCCUAUUUAUAGAUGUGAG
This 327-nucleotide long non-coding RNA is filed under the name Phoenix dactylifera (date palm). RNAcentral's name for it is "long non-coding RNA (PDAC_LNC011659)". The record is from RNAcentral. Lineage: Eukaryota; Viridiplantae; Streptophyta; Magnoliopsida; Arecales; Arecaceae.